UGGGGAAUUUUGGACAAUGGGCGAAAGCCUGAUCCAGCAAUGCCGCGUGUGUGAAGAAGGCCUUCGGGUUGUAAAGCACUUUUGUCCGGAAAGAAAUCCUUGGCUCUAAUACAGUCGGGGGAUGACGGUACCGGAAGAAUAAGCACCGGCUAACUACGUGCCAGCAGCCGCGGUAAUACGUAGGGUGCAAGCGUUAAUCGGAAUUACUGGGCGUAAAGCGUGCGCAGGCGGUUUGCUAAGACCGAUGUGAAAUCCCCGGGCUCAACCUGGGAACUGCAUUGGUGACUGGCAGGCUAGAGUAUGGCAGAGGGGGGUAGAAUUCCACGUGUAGCAGUGAAAUGCGUAGAGAUGUGGAGGAAUACCGAUGGCGAAGGCAGCCCCCUGGGCCAAUACUGACGCUCAUGCACGAAAGCGUGGGGAGCAAACAGGAUUAGAUACCCUGGUAGUCCNCGCCCUAAACGAUGUCAACUAGUUGUUGGGGAUUCAUUUCCUUAGUAACGUAGCUAACGCGUGAAGUUGACCGCCUGGGGAGUACGGUCGCAAGAUUAAAACUCAAAUGGAAUUGACGGGGUCAUAGCUGUUUCCU
This 586-nucleotide ribosomal RNA is filed under the name uncultured bacterium. Its description in RNAcentral is "partial 16S ribosomal RNA". It matches the Rfam family "Bacterial small subunit ribosomal RNA", at positions 355 to 1375 of the family's 1533-position model. The record is from RNAcentral.